UAUAUUUUUUUCUUUUCAUUUUAGCGUUUCUUUCGAAGAGAGUUAUUGCUUUACGUUCUUGUUUAAAUUUUACAAGUGACCACCUCAUCACCAUGCGACGAUGUUCAUUAACAUUUUACCCACCGGAUAAUCAAAUUCUUUCUCCAUCCUUGAAAUCUGUGAGCCUUCGGGGAAAUAAAAUAACUUAUCUUUCCUCGGAAGCAUUUGCCCAUCUUACUUUGCUCAUAUCUCU
Long non-coding RNA from Zophobas morio, 232 nucleotides. RefSeq lists it as uncharacterized. The record is from RefSeq and is a predicted model, not a curated record. NCBI's taxonomy places the organism in Eukaryota, Metazoa, Arthropoda, Insecta, Coleoptera, Tenebrionidae. The transcript is spliced from 3 exons.